AAUUCUAGUGGCGGACGGGUGAGUAACGCGUGGGUAACCUGCCUUAUACAGGGGGAUAACAGUCAGAAAUGACUGCUAAUACCGCAUAAGCGCACAGGACCGCAUGGUCUGGUGUGAAAAACUCCGGUGGUAUAAGAUGGACCCGCGUUGGAUUAGCUAGUUGGUGGGGUAACGGCCCACCAAGGCGACGAUCCAUAGCCGGCCUGAGAGGGUGAACGGCCACAUUGGGACUGAGACACGGCCCAGACUCC
Molecule: ribosomal RNA, 251 nt
Filed under: uncultured Blautia sp.
Lineage: Bacteria; Bacillati; Bacillota; Clostridia; Lachnospirales; Lachnospiraceae
Description: partial 16S ribosomal RNA
Rfam family: Bacterial small subunit ribosomal RNA
Source: RNAcentral